AGUGAACGCUGGCGGUAGGCCUAACACAUGCAAGUCGAACGGCAGCACAGUAAGAGCUUGCUCUUACGGGUGGCGAGUGGCGGACGGGUGAGGAAUACAUCGGAAUCUACUUUUUCGUGGGUGAUAACGUAGGGAAACUUACGCUAAUACCGCAUACGACCUACGGGUGAAAGUAGGGGAUCUUCGGACCUUGCGCGAUUGAAUGAGCCGAUGUCGGAUUAGCUAGUUGGCGGGGUAAAGGCCCACCAAGGCGACGAUCCGUAGCUGGUCUGAGAGGAUGAUCAGCCACACUGGAACUGAGACACGAUCCAGACUCCUACGGGAGGCAGCAGUGGGGAAUAUUGGACAAUGGGCGCAAGCCUGAUCCAGCCAUACCGCGUGGGUGAAGAAGGCCUUCGGGUUGUAAAGCCCUUUUGUUGGGAAAGAAAAGCAGCAGGUUAAUACCCCGCUGUUCUGACGGUACCCAAAGAAUAAGCACCGGCUAACUUCGUG
Molecule: ribosomal RNA, 492 nt
Filed under: uncultured bacterium
Lineage: Bacteria
Description: partial 16S ribosomal RNA
Rfam family: Bacterial small subunit ribosomal RNA
Source: RNAcentral